UGGGGAAUUUUGGACAAUGGGCGAAAGCCUGAUCCAGCAAUGCCGCGUGUGUGAAGAAGGCCUUCGGGUUGUAAAGCACUUUUGUCCGGAAAGAAAUCCUUGGCUCUAAUACAGUCGGGGGAUGACGGUACCGGAAGAAUAAGCACCGGCUAACUACGUGCCAGCAGCCGCGGUAAUACGUAGGGUGCAAGCGUUAAUCGGAAUUACUGGGCGUAAAGCGUGCGCAGGCGGUUUGCUAAGACCGAUGUGAAAUCCCCGGGCUCAACCUGGGAACUGCAUUGGUGACUGGCAGGCUAGAGUAUGGCAGAGGGGGGUAGAAUUCCACGUGUAGCAGUGAAAUGCGUAGAGAUGUGGAGGAAUACCGAUGGCGAAGGCAGCCCCCUGGGCCAAUACUGACGCUCAUGCACGAAAGCGUGGGGAGCAAACAGGAUUAGAUACCCUGGUAGUCCACGCCCUAAACGAUGUCAACUAGUUGUUGGGGAUUCAUUUCCUUAGUAACGUAGCUAACGCGUGAAGUUGACCGCCCGGGGAGUACGGUCGCAAGAUUAAAACUCAAAUGAAUUGACGGGGUCAUAGCUG
This 579-nucleotide ribosomal RNA is filed under the name uncultured bacterium. RNAcentral describes it as "partial 16S ribosomal RNA". It matches the Rfam family "Bacterial small subunit ribosomal RNA", at positions 355 to 932 of the family's 1533-position model. The record is from RNAcentral.